Molecule: ribosomal RNA, 497 nt
Filed under: uncultured bacterium
Lineage: Bacteria
Description: partial 16S ribosomal RNA
Rfam family: Bacterial small subunit ribosomal RNA
Source: RNAcentral
GAUGAACGCUGGCGGCGUGCCUAAUACAUGCAAGUCGAGCGAACAGACGAGGAGCUUGCUCCUCUGACGUUAGCGGCGGACGGGUGAGUAACACGUGGAUAACCUACCUAUAAGACUGGGAUAACUUCGGGAAACCGGAGCUAAUACCGGAUAAUAUAUUGAACCGCAUGGUUCAAUAGUGAAAGACGGUUUUGCUGUCACUUAUAGAUGGAUCCGCGCCGCAUUAGCUAGUUGGUAAGGUAACGGCUUACCAAGGCAACGAUGCGUAGCCGACCUGAGAGGGUGAUCGGCCACACGGGAACUGAGACACGGUCCAGACUCCUACGGGAGGCAGCAGUAGGGAAUCUUCCGCAAUGGGCGAAAGCCUGACGGAGCAACGCCGCGUGAGUGAUGAAGGUCUUCGGAUCGGAAAACUCUGUUAUUAGGGAAGAACAAAUGUGUAAGUAACUAUGCACGUCUUGACGGUACCUAAUCAGAAAGCCACGGCUAACUACGUG